CCCGAAACCAGGUGAGCUACCCCGAGACAGCCUAUGUUAAUUUAGGGCUAACCCGUCUCUGUGGCAAAAGAGUGGGAAGAGCUCCGGGUAGAAGUGACAGACCUACCGAACCUGGUGAUAGCUGGUUGCCUGAAAAAUGGAUAGAAGUUCAGCCUCGCAUCCCCCGAUCCAACAAAUAUAUCGUCAAGAUGCUCAGGGAGACAUGCGAGAGUUAGUUAAAAGGGGUACAGCCCUUUUAACAAAGGAUACAACCUUCACAGGAGGAUAAAGAUCAUAAUAUAUAAGAUAUACUGUUCUAGUGGGCCUGAAAGCAGCCACCUAAACGGAAAGCGUUAAAGCUCGGACAGACAGAAGUUUAUUAUACUGAUAGGAAAUCUUAUUCCCCUAGCUGUAUCAGGCCAACCCAUGCCCCCAUGGAAGAGAUUAUGCUAAAAUGAGUAAUAAGAAGACACGCUCUUCUCCCGGCACACGUGUAAACCAGAUUGGACUAGCCACUGGAACUUAACGAACCCAACCCAAGAGGGCAGUGUGAUUAAUAGAAACCUCAAGAAGAACUCACAUCAACUGAUCGUUAACCCCACACUGGAGUGCUAUCUUCAAGGGAAAGACUAAAAGAGGAGGAAGGAACUCGGCAAACACAAGCCUCGCCUGUUUACCAAAAACAUCGCCUCCUGCAACUAGACUAAGUAUAGGAGGUCCAGCCUGCCCAGUGACUACGGGUUCAACGGCCGCGGUAUCUUGACCGUGCAAAGGUAGCGCAAUCACUUGUCUCUUAAAUAGAGACCUGUAUGAAUGGCUAGACGAGGGCUUAACUGUCUCCCCCCUCCAGUCAGUGAAAUUGAUCUAUCCGUGCAGAAGCGGGUAUAAAUAUACAAGACGAGAAGACCCUUUGGAGCUUAAGGUACAAAAUUCAACCACGUUAAACAACUCCAUAAAAGGCAAGAACUUAGUAGCAAUGAAAUUUUACCUUCGGUUGGGGCGACCGCGGAGGAAAAACAAGCCUCCGAGUGGACUGGGCCAAACCCCUGAAGCCAAGAGAAACAUCUAGAAGCCGCAGAAUAUCUGACCAAAAAUGAUCCGGCUAAAAGCCGAUCAACGAACCAAGUUACCCAAGGGAUAACAGCGCAAUCCCCUCCCAGAGCCCGUAUCGACGAGGGGGUUUACGACCUCGAUGUUGGAUCAGGACAUCCUAAUGGUGC
This 1199-nucleotide ribosomal RNA is filed under the name Pseudaspius sachalinensis. RNAcentral describes it as "partial 16S ribosomal RNA". It matches the Rfam family "Bacterial large subunit ribosomal RNA", at positions 714 to 2556 of the family's 2925-position model. Lineage: Eukaryota; Metazoa; Chordata; Actinopteri; Cypriniformes; Leuciscidae. The record is from RNAcentral.